This 204-nucleotide unclassified non-coding RNA is filed under the name Ascomycota sp. RNAcentral describes it as "partial contains small subunit ribosomal RNA, internal transcribed spacer 1, and 5.8S ribosomal RNA". The stretch from base 1 to 47 matches the Rfam family "Eukaryotic small subunit ribosomal RNA", at positions 1785 to 1831 of the family's 1831-position model. The record is from RNAcentral. Lineage: Eukaryota; Fungi; Ascomycota.
AAAGUCGUAACAAGGUUUCCGUAGGUGAACCUGCGGAAGGAUCAUUACCGAGCUCCUGCCCUCCGGGUAGAGACGCCACCCUUGUGUAUUAGACCGAUGUUGCUUUGGCGGGCCCGCCCGCCAGAGACCCCAAACCCUAAGUGUCAGUGUCGUCAGAGUACUAUUCAAUAGUUAAAACUUUCAACAACGGAUCUCUUGGUUCUG